RNAcentral lists this ribosomal RNA (237 nucleotides) under uncultured bacterium. Its description in RNAcentral is "partial 16S ribosomal RNA". It matches the Rfam family "Bacterial small subunit ribosomal RNA", at positions 15 to 236 of the family's 1533-position model. The record is from RNAcentral.
GAUCAUGGCUCAGGAUGAACGCUGGCGGCGUGCCUAACACAUGCAAGUCGAACGAAGCACCUUACUUGAUUCUUCGGAUGAAGGUCUGGUGACUGAGUGGCGGACGGGUGAGUAACGCGUGGGUAACCUGCCCUGUACAGGGGGAUAACAGCUGGAAACGGCUGCUAAUACCGCAUAAGCGCACGAGGAGACAUCUCCUUGUGUGAAAAACUCCGGUGGUACAGGAUGGGCCCGCGU